UCUAAACCCUGUGGGAGACAAAAAAGAAUUACAUGACUCAGUUUUCUAUCCGCAAGCAAGUUACUCUGGAAUUGGAGAGAAAAAUCUACUGACGGGUGUGUGCUGCUCAAACAAAAGAGCAAAUGAAGAAACAGGAAGGAAGACACUGGAUUUGGUAAGCCGUGGACCCAGGAGAGAAAAGUGGUGAAGUCCAAGGACGAGGACUGGGCAUCAGACAGGCUUGAGCACGAAGAAGAGAGGAAGGGAAAGGACCCUAGGGUCGGUUUUUAUAGAGACACCAUCCUUCCAGGGGUAAAUCCAUAAAGAAUGCUGAUCUGCUGAAGAAUACACUUGCAGGUCUCUCUUGCAUGGCUUUACUGGAUCUGCAGACCCGAGGGAGAGAUGAAAUAUAUUUUUCUGUCAGUAAAAGUCAUCAAAAAUGACUUGAAGACUCGCAGGAAACAAAUAGCCAUGUACCACUUGAUUAUUAUGUCCUAAAUUGAUUAAUAUACCAUCCAUCAUUGCUCUCAAGUGAAAGUUAAGGAUUGCAAGAGUUUUGCAUGUCACCAGCAAUUUGGCUUCUUAGAAACAAGGGACAAAAACCUGAUUUGGAGAGAAAUCUCUGUGGGAUUAAUUAACUCAGAGAAGACACUUACAGCGCUGGGUAACAGUUGGAUGCCGGGCUGAAGGUUGAGUUCAUUCCCUAUGUGCCACCGGCUAAAAAAUGCAAUUAAUCUAGUAUAUUAAAUAAAUACUUCAGGAUGUAAAAA
Molecule: non-coding RNA, 749 nt
Organism: Microcebus murinus (gray mouse lemur)
Lineage: Eukaryota; Metazoa; Chordata; Mammalia; Primates; Cheirogaleidae
Source: RefSeq, a predicted model, not a curated record